Molecule: non-coding RNA, 593 nt
Organism: Pelobates cultripes (western spadefoot toad)
Lineage: Eukaryota; Metazoa; Chordata; Amphibia; Anura; Pelobatidae
Source: the annotation of a GenBank genome assembly
CAUUCGGUACUUUCCCUCCCUGCUACUUUAUCCAUGGAUUUAUUACUGUGACGAAGUGCCCUUCUCCACUUGUGCCUGGAGAGGACUGCUUGGCCGCCUCUUGCCCUGUGACUAUGGACCCUGGGAGAUUUGGCCCGUUCAAUUCAGUAUGAUAGGAGUUAUGUAUUUUUGUAUCCUUUUGUGUUUUACUGGGAACAUGUGCUCAAUGGAGUCUGCCUCUAUCCCUGGAUAUAAUUGGAUUAUGUUCCCCAUUGUCUCCAGGAUAGAGGGCUCUGUAAAACUGGUUUGGGCCAGAUAGCCAUGCUGCCAGCCAUGCCCCAAAAGAUACUUUACUAACUUCUGAACCCCUGGUCUGAUUCAUGCCAUUUUUUGAUAUGUUGUUUCCCUGAAUGGAUUGAUUGUGAAUAUAUAAUUUUUAUGUGAAUGUGAUGUAUAUUUUAGAAGUUAUGAAUAUGCUGUAAAAACUGUAUUUUUCCUACCUGUGAUAAUUGAUCUUCUAUUGUAUAAGAUAAUUGAAUCACAGGCAGAGGGGAGGAUUUUGUGUGGGCUGUAACCUCUGUUUUAUUGGCUACUGUAGAUAACGUGUGUGUCCC